RNAcentral lists this ribosomal RNA (253 nucleotides) under uncultured bacterium. RNAcentral describes it as "partial 16S ribosomal RNA". It matches the Rfam family "Bacterial small subunit ribosomal RNA", at positions 524 to 776 of the family's 1533-position model. The record is from RNAcentral.
UACAUGGGGUGCAAACGUUGCUCGGAAUUAUUGGGCGUAAAGCGCGCGUAGGCGGUUACUUAAGUCGGAUGUGAAAGCCCUCGGCUUAACUGAGGAAGUGCACCCGAAACUGAGUAGCUAGAGUACGAAAGAGGGUCGCGGAAUUCCCGGUGUAGAGGUGAAAUUCGUAGAUAUCGGGAGGAACACCGGUGGCGAAGGCGGCGACCUGGGUCGAGACUGACGCUGAGACGCGAAAGCGUGGGGAGCAAACAGG